GGGAAAAGAAAGAAUGGGGAGAUGGAGGGAGAGAGGGAUCGCAGAGAACAGAGUAGAGAAAGAAUGGGGAGAUGAAGGGAGAGAGGGAUCGCAGAGAACAGAGGAUAGAGAAAGAAUGGGGAGAUGGAGGGAGAGAGGGAUCGCAGAGAACAGAGUAGAGAAAGAAUGGGGAGAUGGAGGGAGAGAGGGAUCAGAGAGAACAGAGGGUAGAGAAAGAAUGGGGAGAUGGAGGGAGAGAGGGAUCAGAGAGAACAGAGGGUAGAGAAAGAAUGGGGAGAUGGAGGGAGAGAGAGAUCAGAGAGAACAGAGGGUAGAGAAAGUGGUGACAGGCGGUGACACUGCGCGUGUCCUCGUUCCCUGUUUACGAUGGGAUAAUCACACACACACACACACACACACACACACACACACACACACACACACACACACUGUGCUCUGCCCUCUGUGUCCCCCUCACAGCCCACUGUGACAUGCUGCUGCCAAUGCCAUGAUAGUGUGUGUGUAGUGUCUUUCUUUUCUUUUCCUAUAUACCUAUUCCAUAUCUUUCUUCCCCCCCCCCUCUUUGUAAACCCUUUCUUUGCUUACCCUUUACCUCCUCCCUCUCUUCCCUCUCUCGCCCACUACGUCUCUCUUACAGGAAUUGGUAGCAGAUGUGGAGAGAGCUUUUUCCUUCAUCUAAAAUGAUCCCCAAUAAAAGAAUGUCAGGAAAAGAGUGAGGGGAAAGAAGGCUUGAUGGAGAAGCAGAAAGGAAUGGGGAAGGCAUAGGUUGAUGGUCUCGGUGAAGUAAGGGUGUAUUUUUGGGACCUCGCACACCGUGCUGACACAGUCAAGCCGUCGGGGGCACAAACAAAGUUGGUAUAGAGGAACAGCGUCUGAGUAGCAUGUGAUGCUAACCUGUCCUGCUGUUGUUGAAAAGGCCUGGAUUAAGAUUAGGACUAGUUGUAAGUGAAUAAUGAUGAGAAGGAGUAGUCUGACAGCAGGCGGCAGUAGUCUGACAGCAGGCGGCAGUAGUCUGACAGCAGGCGGCAGUAGUCUGACAGCAGGCGGCAGUAGUCUGACAGCAGGCGGCAGUAGUCUGACAGCAGGCAGCAGUAGUCUGACAGCAGGCAGCAGUAGUCUGACAGCAGGCAGCAGUAGUCUGACAGCAGGCAGCAGUAGUCUGGCAGCAGGCAGC
Molecule: long non-coding RNA, 1174 nt
Organism: Oncorhynchus tshawytscha (Chinook salmon)
Lineage: Eukaryota; Metazoa; Chordata; Actinopteri; Salmoniformes; Salmonidae
Source: Ensembl